This 484-nucleotide ribosomal RNA is filed under the name uncultured bacterium. RNAcentral describes it as "partial 16S ribosomal RNA". It matches the Rfam family "Bacterial small subunit ribosomal RNA", at positions 29 to 507 of the family's 1533-position model. The record is from RNAcentral.
AGUGAACGCUGGCGGCAGGCCUAACACAUGCAAGUCGAGCGGCAGCGCGGGGGCAACCCUGGCGGCGAGCGGCGGACGGGUGAGGAAUUCGUCGGAAUCUGCCUUUUUGUGGGGGAUAACGUAGGGAAACUUACGCUAAUACCGCAUACGUCCUACGGGAGAAAGUGGGGGACCGCAAGGCCUCACGCAGAAAGAUGAGCCGACGACCGAUUAGCUAGUUGGUGGGGUAAAGGCCCACCAAGGCGACGAUCGGUAGCUGGUCUGAGAGGAUGAUCAGCCACACUGGGACUGAGACACGGCCCAGACUCCUACGGGAGGCAGCAGUGGGGAAUAUUGGACAAUGGGCGCAAGCCUGAUCCAGCCAUGCCGCGUGUGUGAAGAAGGCCUUCGGGUUGUAAAGCAUUUUUGUCCGGAAAGAAAUCCCUGGAGCUAAUACCUUCGGGGGAUGACGGUACCGGAAGAAUAAGCACCGGCUAACUUCGUG